GACGAACGCUGGCGGCGUGCUUAACACAUGCAAGUCAAGGGGGCCCAGCAAUGGGCAACCGGCGAACGGGUGCGUAACACGUGAGCAACCUACCGAACUGUGGGGGAUAGCCGGCCUAACGGCCGAGUAAUACCGCAUACGCUCUCAGUGAGGCAUUUCAUUGAGAGGAAACCUACGGGACAGAUCGAGGGGCUCGCGGCCUAUCAGCUAGUUGGCGAGGUAACGGCUCACCAAGGCAACGACGGGUAGCUGGUCUGAGAGGAUGGCCAGCCACAUUGGGACUGAGAUACGGCCCAGACUCCUACGGGAGGCAGCAGUGGGGAAUCUUGCGCAAUGGCCUAACGGCUGACGCAGCGACGCCGCGUGUGGGAUGAAGCUCUUCGGAGUGUAAACCACUGUUGCCCGGGACGAACAGCUCGAUUUCUCGAGCCUGACGGUACCGGUGAGGAAGCACCGGCUAACUCCGUGCCAGCCGCCGCAGUAAG
This 485-nucleotide ribosomal RNA is filed under the name uncultured bacterium. Its description in RNAcentral is "bacterial SSU rRNA". It matches the Rfam family "Bacterial small subunit ribosomal RNA", at positions 28 to 524 of the family's 1533-position model. The record is from RNAcentral.